RNAcentral lists this ribosomal RNA (492 nucleotides) under uncultured bacterium. RNAcentral's name for it is "partial 16S ribosomal RNA". It matches the Rfam family "Bacterial small subunit ribosomal RNA", at positions 29 to 507 of the family's 1533-position model. The record is from RNAcentral.
AGUGAACGCUGGCGGUAGGCCUAACACAUGCAAGUCGAACGGCAGCACAGUAAGAGCUUGCUCUUACGGGUGGCGAGUGGCGGACGAGUGAGGAAUACAUCGGAAUCUACUUUUUCGUGGGGGAUAACGUAGGGAAAAUUACGCUAAUACCGCAUACGACCUACGGGUGAAAGCAGGGGAUCUUCGGACCUUGCGCGAUUGAAUGAGCCGAUGUCGGAUUAGCUAGUUGGCGGGGUAAAGGCCCACCAAGGCGACGAUCCGUAGCUGGUCUGAGAGGAUGAUCAGCCACACUGGAACUGAGACACGGUCCAGACUCCUACGGGAGGCAGCAGUGGGGAAUAUUGGACAAAGGGCGCAAGCCUGAUCCAGCCAUACCGCGUGGGUGAAGAAGGCCUUCGGGUUGUAAAGCCCUUUUGUUGGGAAAGAAAAGCAGCAGGUUAAUACCCCGCUGUUCUGACGGUACCCAAAGAAUAAGCACCGGCUAACUUCGUG